UCCGGUGGUUCUGUAUGGAAGGGCCAUCGCUCAACGGAUAAAAGGUACUCUGGGGAUAACAGGCUGAUUCCUCCCAAGAGUUCAUAUCGACGGGGGAGUUUGGCACCUCGAUGUCGGCUCAUCACAUCCUGGGGCUGUAGCCGGUCCCAAGGGUAUGGCUGUUCGCCAUUUAAAGUGGUACGCGAGCUGGGUUCAGAACGUCGUGAGACAGUUCGGUCCCUAUCUGCCGUGGGCGUUGGAAAUUUGAGAGGAUCUGUUCUUAGUACGAGAGGACCGGAAUGGACAAACCUAUGGUGAUCCUGUUGUUGCGCCAGUGGCAUCGCAGGGUAGCUAAGUUUGGAAUGGAUAACCGCUGAAAGCAUCUAAGCGGGAAGCCAGCCUCAAGAUAGAUUUCCCGGGAGUAUAACUCUCCUAAAGGUCACAGCAAGACUAGCUGUUUGAUAGGCUGGAUGUGUAAGUGCAGCAAUGUAUUUAGCUUACCAGUACUAACCGACCGUGAGGCCUCACUUU
This 510-nucleotide ribosomal RNA is filed under the name Deltaproteobacteria bacterium. RNAcentral describes it as "partial 23S ribosomal RNA". It matches the Rfam family "Bacterial large subunit ribosomal RNA", at positions 2419 to 2925 of the family's 2925-position model. Lineage: Bacteria; Pseudomonadati; Myxococcota; Myxococcia. The record is from RNAcentral.